GACGAACGCUGGCGGCGUGCUUAACACAUGCAAGUCGAACGGUAAGGCCCUUCGGGGUACACGAGUGGCGAACGGGUGAGUAACACGUGGGUGAUCUGCCCUGCACUUCGGGAUAAGCCUGGGAAACUGGGUCUAAUACCGGAUAGGACCACUGCCUGCAUGGGUGGUGGUGGAAAGCUUUUGCGGUGUGGGAUGGGCCCGCGGCCUAUCAGCUUGGUGGUGGGGUGAUGGCCUACCAAGGCGACGACGGGUAGCCGGCCUGAGAGGGUGAACGGCCACACUGGGACGGAGAUCCGGCCCAGCCUCCUACGGGAGGCAGCAGUGGGGAAUAUUGCACAAUGGGCGCAAGCCUGAUGCAGCGACGCCGCGUGAGGGAUGACGGCCUUCGGGUUGUAAACCUCUUUCAGCACCGACGAAGCGCAAGUGACGGUAGGUGCAGAAGAAGGACCGGCCAACUACGUGCCAGCCGCCGCGGUAA
Molecule: ribosomal RNA, 478 nt
Filed under: uncultured bacterium
Lineage: Bacteria
Description: partial 16S ribosomal RNA
Rfam family: Bacterial small subunit ribosomal RNA
Source: RNAcentral